GCCUUCCUUCUUAAUUUUUACGGCCAUUCGAAGUGAGAAGCUGAGAGUGAAUGUUCUGUGAAACUUGCAGUAGCAGGGGAUUUUCUGUAGCCAGCAGAUCAUCUAAAUCAACCUCACCUUCGCCAGAGUCGAUUUUUGCAGAGGUUUAUGAUUGUUAAUUUGCUGUUUAUUGAAUUAUUUGCUGGGCAUUGAUGUAAGGAUUGCAAGAGACAGAGAUGGGUUUUGUUAAUUUUGCUUUUUGUUGAAUUCCUUGCUCUGUUGGUUAAUUUGCUAAUGCGCCCUCUCUCCUUGUGUUUGUUUAAUUUGCUGUAGACCUUGAAUGAUUGAUUUCUCAGAAAUGGGUUCAUAGUUGCUAGCUUGCUGGUAGGGUUGGGAAUUUGCUAGGUAUUGAUUUUGUUGAAUUGUUUUUGUUUAUGAUUGAAUUAUUUGCUAGGUAUUCAUGUGGCUUGGGUUUCUUUAUUGCUGCGCUUGUUGAGGAAACCAAAUCGAACUGCAAAUUUUGAUUCGGUUUUAUUCGAUUUUCUCUGUACUUUUUCCACCGUAAACGAAACCUACAAAUAAAAAUCCUCGAGAUUUCUUUGUCAAACACAAAACGUCUAAAUCUCAAGUCCCAAAUCCAUAUCAUUUAGGGGAAAAAAAAACCCAAAAAAUCUCCACAAAAUCAAUGAGAUUGUCCACAAUUUGCAUAUUAAAAAGUACUCCAUUUGUUGUCGUCGAUUUCAUUGUUUGCAAGUGAGGGCUUCUCUAUCAUUUGCAUGUGAAAUUGUUUCCAAUCUCAUAAAAGCCAAUGCGAAAUCUACCAUUCACACUGUGCAUCAUUCUUCUCUUGCUAAGUUCUAUAGCCGUUGGUAUCUCUCUUUCCAGCUUCUGCUACUUGCAAUUAGGUUUUUUUUAAUCCAUUGCGCAUUAAUGUGUUUCAAAUCAGCUAAAAAAUUUGAUUUGAUGGGAAAGUAAUUGUGACAUUUUAUUUAUUUUUAAUUAUCUGUAUAAUUUUCUGAGUCCAUAGUAGUAGACUGUUGAUGAUCAGGCGAUAAGAUCCCAAAAUCCAGCAUAGGGCACUCUCCAUUGGUUUUUAACUUCUAGAUUUUUUAAAUUCAGUUUAAGCUUUAGAUU
RNAcentral lists this unclassified non-coding RNA (1113 nucleotides) under Hevea brasiliensis (rubber tree). The record is from RNAcentral. Lineage: Eukaryota; Viridiplantae; Streptophyta; Magnoliopsida; Malpighiales; Euphorbiaceae.